This 72-nucleotide transfer RNA is filed under the name Phrynosoma platyrhinos (Desert horned lizard). RNAcentral describes it as "tRNA-OTHER". The record is from RNAcentral. Lineage: Eukaryota; Metazoa; Chordata; Lepidosauria; Squamata; Phrynosomatidae.
GCAAGCAUGGCAUAGUGGUUUGCGUGUUGGACUAUGACUCUGGGGAUCAGGGUUCAAUUCCCAGCUCGGUCA